This 301-nucleotide ribosomal RNA is filed under the name uncultured bacterium. RNAcentral's name for it is "partial 16S ribosomal RNA". It matches the Rfam family "Bacterial small subunit ribosomal RNA", at positions 509 to 809 of the family's 1533-position model. The record is from RNAcentral.
CAGCAGCCACGGGAAUACGUAGGUGGCAAGCGCUGUCCGGAAUUAUUGGGCGUAAAGCGCGCGCAGGCGGAUCAGUCAGUCUGUCUUAAAAGUUCGGGGCCUAACCCCGUGAUGGGAUGGAAACUGCUGAUCUAGAGUAUCGGAGAGGAAAGUGGAAUUCCUAGUGUAGCGGUGAAAUGCGUAGAUAUUAGGAAGAACACCAGUGGCGAAGGCGACUUUCUGGACGAAAACUGACGCUGAGGCGCGAAAGCCAGGGGAGCGAACGGGAUUAGAUACCCCAGUAGUCCCUGUCUCUUAUACA